GUGAAUCAUCGAAUUUUUGAACGCAAAUUGCACUCUCUGGUAUUCCGGAGAGUAUGCCUGUUUGAGGGUCAGUAUAAAUAAUAAUCGGUGUGGUUGCUGCCUUUCGUGGUUACGUACCGGAUUUGGGUCGUUUUGUUUUAGGUUAAGUGACCUAAAAUUUUGCAUGAUUUUUUCGAACGUAUUUCAAUGACUUUACG
Molecule: unclassified non-coding RNA, 197 nt
Filed under: Glomeraceae sp.
Lineage: Eukaryota; Fungi; Glomeromycota; Glomeromycetes; Glomerales; Glomeraceae
Description: partial contains 5.8S ribosomal RNA and internal transcribed spacer 2
Rfam family: 5.8S ribosomal RNA (bases 1-71)
Source: RNAcentral